RNAcentral lists this ribosomal RNA (426 nucleotides) under uncultured bacterium. RNAcentral's name for it is "partial 16S ribosomal RNA". It matches the Rfam family "Bacterial small subunit ribosomal RNA", at positions 354 to 796 of the family's 1533-position model. The record is from RNAcentral.
GUGAGGAAUUUUCCGCAAUGGGCGAAAGCCUGACGGAGCAAUGCCGCGUGAAGGAUGAAGGCCUAUGGGUUGUAAACUUCUUUUCUCAGAAAAGAAUUAUGACGGUAUCUGAGGAAUAAGCAUCGGCUAACUCUGUGCCAGCAGCCGCGGUAAGACAGAGGAUGCAAGCGUUAUCCGGAAUGAUUGGGCGUAAAGCGUCUGUAGAUUGUUUAAAAAGUAUUCUGUCAAAGAUUCGGGCUUAACCCUAGAUAGGCAGAAUAAACUUUUAAGCUAGAGUUUGGUAGAGGCAGAGGGAAUUACCGGUGGAGCGGUGAACUGCGUAGAUAUCGGGAGGAACACCAAAGGCGAAGGCACUCUGCUGGGCCAAUACUAACACUGAGAGACGAAAGCGAGGGGAGCAAAUGGGAUUAGAAACCCCAGUAGUCC